RNAcentral lists this unclassified non-coding RNA (89 nucleotides) under Pseudomonas gessardii. The record is from RNAcentral. Lineage: Bacteria; Pseudomonadati; Pseudomonadota; Gammaproteobacteria; Pseudomonadales; Pseudomonadaceae.
UGUAGGAGCUGGCUUGCCUGCGAUAACGGUGGGUCAGGCAAUAUUUUCUCAGUUGAUAAACCGCUAUCGCAGGCAAGCCAGCUCCCACA